Molecule: non-coding RNA, 596 nt
Organism: Pelodiscus sinensis (Chinese soft-shelled turtle)
Lineage: Eukaryota; Metazoa; Chordata; Testudines; Trionychidae
Source: RefSeq, a predicted model, not a curated record
UGCUGGCGGGGCGGAGCCCUACGCGCUCGUGGCACCGGUCGGGCUGCGGGUGCCCCCACCAGGGACCUGGCCUCACUCACCAGCCACACGGAACUGCCAAAAUAAAAAACAGUUCAAACAACGUCCGAAUAGUUUUGACUGAGCACCUGAAAGCGUCCAUCUGGAGAGAGGAGAAAAGGAAGAAGAAAAUGAAGAAAAUAUAUAAAAAAAACCCAAGAUUGGACAAAAUGGUUGACUAAUAAUGCAAGUACUAGUCAGCGACAAAAGGUGAACAUCAAAAUAUGUAACAGCAAAUACAAUUACUUGAAGCUGAAGAUAAAGAUCCUGAGAUAUAGGUGGAAGAAGAAACCAAAGCUUGUUUAAAAACAAUUUGGACAGCAAUAGAGAUCAAGAAUCUUUGCAUCAUCAACAGGAAAAUACGAUACAAAAAUCAACCUGAUAUUACUCCAAAUUUUAAUUGCAGUGAUUCCACAUCCUGGCCCAACAUAACAUAAGAUGUUGGCUUGUUGAGCAUGGUCCUGAUCAAAGGAAAGAUGCUGAUUUUCAAAAUUCAGUGUCUGAAGAUGGACAGUUAAUAUAUUAAAAAACUCAGAAAU